This 495-nucleotide ribosomal RNA is filed under the name uncultured Sphingobacteriales bacterium. RNAcentral describes it as "bacterial SSU rRNA". It matches the Rfam family "Bacterial small subunit ribosomal RNA", at positions 904 to 1382 of the family's 1533-position model. Lineage: Bacteria; Pseudomonadati; Bacteroidota; Sphingobacteriia; Sphingobacteriales. The record is from RNAcentral.
CCAGCCCGCUCAGAAACUCAAGGAAUUGACGGGGGCCCGCACAAGCGGUGGAGCAUGUGGUUUAAUUCGAUGAUACGCGAGGAACCUUACCUGGGCUCAAAUGUAUGUUGACGUAUUCUGAAAGGGAUACUUCUUCGGACAAUAUACAAGGUGCUGCAUGGUUGUCGUCAGCUCGUGCCGUGAGGUGUCGGGUUAAGUCCCAUAACGAGCGCAACCCCUAUCAUUAGUUGCCAUCAGGUCAAGCUGGGGACUCUAAUGAAACUGCCUACGCAAGUAGUGAGGAAGGUGGGGAUGACGUCAAAUCAGCACGGCCCUUACGUCCAGGGCUACACACGUGCUACAAUGGCCGGUACAAAGGGCAGCUACCUGGUGACAGGAUGCUAAUCUCAAAAGCCGGUCUCAGUUCGGAUCGGAGUCUGCAACCCGACUCCGUGAAGUUGGAUUCGCUAGUAAUCGCGCAUCAGCCAUGGCGCGGUGAAUACGUUCCCGGGCCUU